This 501-nucleotide ribosomal RNA is filed under the name uncultured Oscillibacter sp. RNAcentral describes it as "bacterial SSU rRNA". It matches the Rfam family "Bacterial small subunit ribosomal RNA", at positions 8 to 507 of the family's 1533-position model. The record is from RNAcentral. Lineage: Bacteria; Bacillati; Bacillota; Clostridia; Eubacteriales; Oscillospiraceae.
AGAGUUUGAUCCUGGCUCAGGACGAACGCUGGCGGCGUGCUUAACACAUGCAAGUCGAACGGAGCACCCUUGAAAGAGUUUUCGGACAAUGGAGAGGAAUGCUUAGUGGCGGACUGGUGAGUAACGCGUGAGGAACCUGCCUUCCAGAGGGGGACAACAGUUGGAAACGACUGCUAAUACCGCAUGACACAUUUGAAUCGCAUGGUUUGAAUGUCAAAGAUUUAUCGCUGGAAGAUGGCCUCGCGUCUGAUUAGCUAGUAGGCGGGGUAACGGCCCACCUAGGCGACGAUCAGUAGCCGGACUGAGAGGUUGACCGGCCACAUUGGGACUGAGAUACGGCCCAGACUCCUACGGGAGGCAGCAGUGGGGAAUAUUGGGCAAUGGGCGCAAGCCUGACCCAGCAACGCCGCGUGAAGGAAGAAGGCUUUCGGGUUGUAAACUUCUUUUAAGAGGGAAGAGCAGAAGACGGUACCUCUUGAAUAAGCCACGGCUAACUACGUG